RNAcentral lists this ribosomal RNA (460 nucleotides) under uncultured bacterium. RNAcentral describes it as "partial 16S ribosomal RNA". It matches the Rfam family "Bacterial small subunit ribosomal RNA", at positions 338 to 795 of the family's 1533-position model. The record is from RNAcentral.
CCUACGGGAGGCAGCAGUGAGGAAUAUUGCUCAAUGGGCGAGAGCCUGAACCAGCCAAGCCGCGUGAAGGAAGAAGGAUCUCUGUUUUGUAAACUCUUUCAAUAUGGGAAUAAAGUGCGGUACGUGUUCCUUUUUGUAUGUACCAUAUCAUUAAGCAUCGGAUAAAUCCGUGCCAGCAGCCGCGGUAAUACGGAGGAUGCGAGCGUUAUCCGGAUGUAUUGGGUUUAAAGGGUGCGUAGGUGGUUAAUUAAGUCAACGGUGAAAGUUUGUGGCUCAACCAUAAAAUUGCCGUUGAGACUGGUUGACUUGAGUAUAUUUGAGGUAGGCGGAAUGCGUGGUGUAGCGGUGAAAUGCAUAGAUAUCACGCAGAACACCGAUUGCGAAGGCAGCUUACUAAACUAUAACUGACGCUGAAGCACGAAAGCGUGGGGAGCAAACAGGAUUAGAUACCCCUGUAGUC